CCGAUUUGGUCGCCCGAAGAGGACGCCAAGAGGGAAGCCGGUGAGAGUCCGGCGCAGUCCCGCUGCUGUAAGCUCAAGAGUUGAGACCCAAUCUGCUACGUCACUGUACGGCGCCAUAGUCGUAUGGGAAGACGGGGUACUCAGAGUAAGCCAGAAGACCUGCCAAAUCGUUA
RNAcentral lists this non-coding RNA (173 nucleotides) under bovine gut metagenome. The record is from RNAcentral.